RNAcentral lists this ribosomal RNA (479 nucleotides) under uncultured organism. RNAcentral's name for it is "partial 16S ribosomal RNA". It matches the Rfam family "Bacterial small subunit ribosomal RNA", at positions 329 to 799 of the family's 1533-position model. The record is from RNAcentral.
ACGUACACUCCUACGGGAGGCAGCAGUGGGGAAUUUUGGACAAUGGGCGAAAGCCUGAUCCAGCCAUGCCGCGUGCAGGAUGAAGGCCUUCGGGUUGUAAACUGCUUUUGUACGGAACGAAACGGCCUUUUCUAAUAAAGAGGGCUAAUGACGGUACCGUAAGAAUAAGCACCGGCUAACUACGUGCCAGCAGCCGCGGUAAUACGUAGGGUGCAAGCGUUAAUCGGAAUUACUGGGCGUAAAGCGUGCGCAGGCGGUUAUGUAAGACAGUUGUGAAAUCCCCGGGCUCAACCUGGGAACUGCAUCUGUGACUGCAUAGCUAGAGUACGGUAGAGGGGGAUGGAAUUCCGCGUGUAGCAGUGAAAUGCGUAGAUAUGCGGAGGAACACCGAUGGCGAAGGCAAUCCCCUGGACCUGUACUGACGCUCAUGCACGAAAGCGUGGGGAGCAAACAGGAUUAGAAACCCCAGUAGUCCCAUG